AAUCAUAGCUUUCAUCCAAUCCAUUCUUCAUGAUUCCUUGAUCAAGUCGCUGAGAACUAACUAUCUGAUCUGUUGGACCAAUCAUUCGGACAAUAAUUUCUCAUUCUUAUUAUUUUAAAUCUAUUGAAUUCAUUAAAUAGAAAUUAAUUAUAUUUUUAAUAUCUUAAAUAGGAUUAGCAUAUUUGUCUAGCAAACUUUGAAGGUCUAAGAUGGGCAAGA
RNAcentral lists this long non-coding RNA (219 nucleotides) under Elaeis guineensis (African oil palm). RNAcentral describes it as "long non-coding RNA (EGUI_LNC041671)". Lineage: Eukaryota; Viridiplantae; Streptophyta; Magnoliopsida; Arecales; Arecaceae. The record is from RNAcentral.